ACUGAGUAUAAGAAAGUGAAAUGCAACCCGUAUCCUAGCUGCUAAAGUAGAGUAGAUAUAAAACAAAAAAACUCAUAGGGACUUCGUCUUCACUUACAAAACUUGGGUAAGCCAUAAUAAGCUUGUGUAGGGUAUUUGGAGUCCAAUAUGACAAGAUUGGUGUGUAUGACUAAGCAUAAGAAAGUGAAAUGCAACCCGUAUCCUGGCUGCUAAAGUAGAGUAGAUAUAAAACAAAAAAAAAUUCAUAGGGACUUCGUCUUCACUUACAACACUUGGGAAAGCCAUAAUAA
This 290-nucleotide long non-coding RNA is filed under the name Arabidopsis lyrata. RNAcentral describes it as "long non-coding RNA (ALYR_LNC000002)". The record is from RNAcentral. Lineage: Eukaryota; Viridiplantae; Streptophyta; Magnoliopsida; Brassicales; Brassicaceae.